Molecule: long non-coding RNA, 1024 nt
Filed under: Zea mays
Lineage: Eukaryota; Viridiplantae; Streptophyta; Magnoliopsida; Poales; Poaceae
Description: long non-coding RNA (ZMAY_LNC003742)
Source: RNAcentral
GUGGACUUCCGGAUCGUUCUUAGGGAUUUUGCCCAAACUUCGGUGAAGGCAAGUAAAACUGUGAUGGUUAUUCCGUCUGUCAGAUGAGGAAUCUUAUACUUGUUUAUGUUGUGCUAUCAUGUUCAAAUUCAUAUUUUCUUUUGAGUACCAUCAUUUGAAAAUGUUCAUGUUUCAUGGAUUUCGUAUGUUGAGUUUGAGGUUUGAUUAUGUUACUCAAGUGGUUAUUAUGUGAAUGGUUGGAAGUAAAUGCCUAGCACAUUUUUAUUUGGGAAGAACUUAUGAUGUUGUCAUGCAUAAUGCACUCAUCAUCCAUUGCAUUGAAGUUUCGUCGCGAUCUUAUGGUCCGACCGUACCGGUACAUUGAGCAUCAUAUGUUGCCCGAGAAGGGGUAUGGUGCAGCUUCAUAUCCUUAGAGAUAUGGAGGCAGAAGUCAUUAUUGCAUUUGUAGCCAUGUGCAUUCAUGGGAGAGGUGUUGAAUCUAUUAUGUGGAUGUGGAUAAUUUGGACUUGUGCAUGGUGAUUCUACUUGGCGUUGAGCUUUUAGUUACUUGUUUACUUGCUGCAAUUUACUGUUCAAAAGAAAAGAAAGAAGUCAUGAACACGUGGUUGUGUAAGCACAGUUGAUUUACAAUGUCCUAUUUGUUGUUGUUAUGUUUACUUGCUGAGAUGUGUUAUCUCACAUCUUGCAUUGUUUUAUGCAGGCACCUAAUUUCUGAUUUGGGAAUAGAGGGAUGUAGCAGCACGGCCACUACACCUUUAAUAAAGGAACCACCAUUUAAUAAUGUUGUUAAUCAGAGUUGGACAAGUCUAGUGAAUUGCUUUGUUCUUGGUUGAGCGUUUAUUUUGGGGUGGGCUGAGUUUCUUAUCCCAUUUGUUUUGCUUCAGUUGGGUCAUAAUUAAGUUUUACCACUUUUGCAUUUCAGUUUCUACUAUGUGAAUUAUAUGUCUUUAUAUCUUGUAUGAGCUUCAUGUUUCCCCUCCUUGUUAUGCUAGUUUUCAAAGGAGGUGCUGCCGGAUUUUGCUAU